Molecule: transfer RNA, 72 nt
Filed under: Acidimicrobiia bacterium
Lineage: Bacteria; Bacillati; Actinomycetota; Acidimicrobiia
Also listed under: 2 other names
Description: tRNA-Gln
Rfam family: tRNA
About the family: Transfer RNA (tRNA) molecules are approximately 80 nucleotides in length.
Source: RNAcentral
UGGGGGGUGGUGUAAUCGGCAGCACGCGGGGUUUUGGUCCCCGAAGAAUGGGUUCGAGCCCUAUCCCCCCAG